Molecule: ribosomal RNA, 253 nt
Filed under: uncultured bacterium
Lineage: Bacteria
Description: partial 16S ribosomal RNA
Rfam family: Bacterial small subunit ribosomal RNA
Source: RNAcentral
UACGUAGGGGGCAAGCGUUGUCCGGAAUCAUUGGGCGUAAAGAGCGUGUAGGCGGCCAGAAAAGUCCGCUGUGAAAACUCGAGGCUCAACUUCGAGCUGUCGGUGGAAACUUUCUGGCUAGAGUCCGGAAGAGGAGAAUGGAAUUCCUGGUGUAGCGGUGAAAUGCGCAGAUAUCAGGAAGAACACCCGUGGCGAAGGCGGUUCUCUGGGCAUGUCCUGACGCUGAGGAGCGAAAGUGUGGGGAGCGAACAGG